RNAcentral lists this ribosomal RNA (414 nucleotides) under Rhynchostegium riparioides. RNAcentral describes it as "eukaryotic LSU rRNA". The stretch from base 12 to 127 matches the Rfam family "5.8S ribosomal RNA", at positions 38 to 154 of the family's 154-position model. The record is from RNAcentral. Lineage: Eukaryota; Viridiplantae; Streptophyta; Bryopsida; Hypnales; Brachytheciaceae.
UGCAUCGAUUGGAAGAACGUAGCGAAAUGCGAUACGUAGUGUGAAUUGCAGAAUUCCGCGAAUCAUCGAGUCUUUGAACGCAAGUUGCGCCCGAGGCUUGUCCGAGGGCAUUUCCGCUAGAGCGUCACCGCGCCCCCCACCGAUCCGCUCCCGCCGCGAGGCGCCAGUCGGUUCGAGUGGAAGUGGCCGUCCCGGUCGCGAUCUUCGCGAGUGAGGGUCGGCUGAAAUGGAUGGAAUCGGGCCGCCGUGGCGACACAGUCCGCGAUCGGGUGAUUUUUCGCGAGCCUCCCCAGGGAGGGUCGCCGUGAAUUUUUCUAAGUGCGUGGCUGCGUCCCCCAGUUGGUUUCGGUUCCCUCGUGCAGGUCGUGCGCGCCCCCGCGGCGCGCGUCACGCAUCAGACCUCUAAUCGGAAAA